AGAAGGCACACCCGGAGAACUGAAACAUCUUAGUACCCGGAGGAAGAGAAAGAAAAUUCGAUUCCCUUAGUAGCGGCGAGCGAAACGGGAAGAGCCCAAACCAACAAGCUUGCUUGUUGGGGUUGUAGGACACUCUAUACGGAGUUACAAAGGACGACAUUAGACGAAUCAUCUGGAAAGAUGAAUCAAAGAAGGUAAUAAUCCUGUAGUCGAAAAUGUUGUCUCUCUUGAGUGGAUCCUGAGUACGACGGAGCACGUGAAAUUCCGUCGGAAUCUGGGAGGACCAUCUCCUAAGGCUAAAUACUCUCUAGUGACCGAUAGUGAACCAGUACCGUGAGGGAAAGGUGAAAAGCACCCCGGAAGGGGAGUGAAAUAGAACCUGAAACCGUGUGCUUACAAGUAGUCAGAGCCCGUUAAUGGGUGAUGGCGUGCCUUUUGUAGAAUGAACCGGCGAGUUACGAUUUGAUGCAAGGUUAAGCAGUAAAUGUGGAGCCGUAGCGAAAGCGAGUCUGAAUAGGGCGUUUAGUAUUUGGUCGUAGACCCGAAACCAGGUGAUCUACCCUUGGUCAGGUUGAAGUUCAGGUAACACUGAAUGGAGGACCGAACCGACUUACGUUGAAAAGUGAGCGGAUGAACUGAGGGUAGCGGAGAAAUUCCAAUCGAACCUGGAGAUAGCUGGUUCUCUCCGAAAUAGCUUUAGGGCUAGCCUCAAGUGAUGAUUAUUGGAGGUAGAGCACUGUUUGGACGAGGGGCCCCUCUCGGGUUACCGAAUUCAGACAAACUCCGAAUGCCAAUUAAUUUAACUUGGGAGUCAGAACAUGGGUGAUAAGGUCCGUGUUCGAAAGGGAAACAGCCCAGACCACCAGCUAAGGUCCCAAAAUAUAUGUUAAGUGGAAAAGGAUGUGGCGUUGCCCAGACAACUAGGAUGUUGGCUUAGAAGCAGCCAUCAUUUAAAGAGUGCGUAAUAGCUCACUAGUCGAGUGACACUGCGCCGAAAAUGUACCGGGGCUAAACAUAUUACCGAAGCUGUGGAUUGUCCUUUGGACAAUGGUAGGAGAGCGUUCUAAGGGCGUUGAAGCAUGAUCGUAAGGACAUGUGGAGCGCUUAGAAGUGAGAAUGCCGGUGUGAGUAGCGAAAGACGGGUGAGAAUCCCGUCCACCGAUUGACUAAGGUUUCCAGAGGAAGGCUCGUCCGCUCUGGGUUAGUCGGGUCCUAAGCUGAGGCCGACAGGCGUAGGCGAUGGAUAACAGGUUGAUAUUCCUGUACCACCUAUAAUCGUUUUAAUCGAUGGGGGGACGCAGUAGGAUAGGCGAAGCGUGCGAUUGGAUUGCACGUCUAAGCAGUAAGGCUGAGUAUUAGGCAAAUCCGGUACUCGUUAAGGCUGAGCUGUGAUGGGGAGAAGACAUUGAGUCUUCGAGUCGUUGAUUUCACACUGCCGAGAAAAGCCUCUAGAUAGAAAAUAGGUGCCCGUACCGCAAACCGACACAGGUAGUCAAGAUGAGAAUUCUAAGGUGAGCGAGCGAACUCUCGUUAAGGAACUCGGCAAAAUGACCCCGUAACUUCGGGAGAAGGGGUGCUCUUUAGGGUUAACGCCCAGAAGAGCCGCAGUGAAUAGGCCCAAGCGACUGUUUAUCAAAAACACAGGUCUCUGCUAAACCGUAAGGUGAUGUAUAGGGGCUGACGCCUGCCCGGUGCUGGAAGGUUAAGAGGAGUGGUUAGCUUCUGCGAAGCUACGAAUCGAAGCCCCAGUAAACGGCGGCCGUAACUAUAACGGUCCUAAGGUAGCGAAAUUCCUUGUCGGGUAAGUUCCGACCCGCACGAAAGGCGUAACGAUUUGGGCACUGUCUCAACGAGAGACUCGGUGAAAUCAUAGUACCUGUGAAGAUGCAGGUUACCCGCGACAGGACGGAAAGACCCCGUGGAGCUUUACUGUAGCCUGAUAUUGAAAUUCGGCACAGCUUGUACAGGAUAGGUAGGAGCCUUUGAAACGUGAGCGCUAGCUUACGUGGAGGCGCUGGUGGGAUACUACCCUAGCUGUGUUGGCUUUCUAACCCGCACCACUUAUCGUGGUGGGAGACAGUGUCAGGCGGGCAGUUUGACUGGGGCGGUCGCCUCCUAAAAGGUAACGGAGGCGCUCAAAGGUUCCCUCAGAAUGGUUGGAAAUCAUUCAUAGAGUGUAAAGGCAUAAGGGAGCUUGACUGCGAGACCUACAAGUCGAGCAGGGUCGAAAGACGGACUUAGUGAUCCGGUGGUUCCGCAUGGAAGGGCCAUCGCUCAACGGAUAAAAGCUACCCCGGGGAUAACAGGCUUAUCUCCCCCAAGAGUUCACAUCGACGGGGAGGUUUGGCACCUCGAUGUCGGCUCAUCGCAUCCUGGGGCUGUAGUCGGUCCCAAGGGUUGGGCUGUUCGCCCAUUAAAGCGGUACGCGAGCUGGGUUCAGAACGUCGUGAGACAGUUCGGUCCCUAUCCGUCGUGGGCGUAGGAAAUUUGAGAGGAGCUGUCCUUAGUACGAGAGGACCGGGAUGGACAUACCUCUGGUGUACCAGUUGUCGUGCCAACGGCAUAGCUGGGUAGCUAUGUGUGGACGGGAUAAGUGCUGAAAGCAUCUAAGCAUGAAGCCCCCCUCAAGAUGAGAUUUCCCAACUUCGGUUAUAAGAUCCCUCAAAGAUGAUGAGGUUAAUAGGUUCGAGGUGGAAGCAUGGUGACAUGUGGAGCUGACGAAUACUAAUCGAUCGAAGACUUAAUCAA
Molecule: ribosomal RNA, 2748 nt
Filed under: Staphylococcus aureus
Lineage: Bacteria; Bacillati; Bacillota; Bacilli; Caryophanales; Staphylococcaceae
Description: bacterial LSU rRNA
Rfam family: Bacterial large subunit ribosomal RNA
Source: RNAcentral